GUUAACUCCCACCCCUCAGCACAGCCUCUGAAAUUCAUUCGUCCCCCUCCCUGUGAAUCCUCGCAAGAAGAUCCCCUGCGCUCUCCCGAGAGAAGGAAGUGAAGUUGCAGAGGAAUAGCGCCUGGGAGCGAUUGCCGGCUUCCUGUUGCACUCUCCCCGCUGAACUUGACGGUGUCUUCCACUCGUCCUGACCACG
This 196-nucleotide long non-coding RNA is filed under the name Ictidomys tridecemlineatus (thirteen-lined ground squirrel). RNAcentral describes it as "lncRNA (ENSSTOG00000032778.1)". The record is from RNAcentral. Lineage: Eukaryota; Metazoa; Chordata; Mammalia; Rodentia; Sciuridae.